This 3652-nucleotide long non-coding RNA is filed under the name Marmota monax (woodchuck). The record is from RNAcentral. Lineage: Eukaryota; Metazoa; Chordata; Mammalia; Rodentia; Sciuridae.
UCAGGCCUCCUUCCCUGCCUCUGGCUUGCUCAGGCCGGGCUGAGUCCCCACAAAGGUCAGGAUGGGUGUUCCCAGCCCAGGGAAUGCCUUCUGGGCUACCCUGGCCUGCCCCUGUCUCAUGCCUUCAAGUGCCCAUCACUGAGAUGUGGACCCUCAGGUGCCCGAGCCCCCAGGCAGGGAAGGGCCAGGCCCAUCCCUGCACACCCAGGGUGCUAGUAGGACCCUGACCUUAUGAGGGACAGUGGCCCUCUGCCCAUCCUGCUCCUCAGUGCAGGCCACUGCCCUCCCCUCCCCUGCCAGCCCAGACAAGGUAUUCCCUGCAGGCGUGAACCCCAGCCACCUGAUGAACCUGUUCACCUAUGAGAAGGGCUACUGCUUCGUGUACUACCUGUCCCAGCUCUGUGGAGACCCCCAGCGCUUCGACGACUUUCUCCGAGUGAGCAUUGGACCUGCACCUCCUGCCUCACCCCGCCCCAGCACACAGGGCUGCCUGUCUUGGGGGGAGGGUGGCGUCCGUAGGGACACCCAGAGCCCUACCAGGACCUGGCCUGCUGAGACAGCACGGCCUUCCUCUCCUGUCCGCCCCAGUGGGCCGCUCACGUCCAUGGCACACACCCUGAGUUGCUGUGAAGGCCCCAGCUCUGACCGGGGCCAGGCCUGGCCAGCCCUCCAGGCCUGCUCAGUGGCCGCCCCUCCCCCCACAGGCCUACGUGGAGAAGUUCAAGUUCACCAGCGUGGUGGCCCAGGACCUGCUGGGCUCCUUCCUGAGCUUCUUCCCAGAGCUGAAGGAGCAGAGUGUGGACUGCCGGGCAGGUGACAGUGGGGACCGUCUGCCCAAGCUGCGGGCCCUACCUGGAGAAAAGCCCCAUCUGUCACAUCUUUCCUUCAGCCAGCCCUCACUGGCCCUCGUGGACCCCAAGCCUGGACCACGAGCACAAAGGAGGCUGUGCCUCCCAGCCUGAGGGGGCCUCCUGGAGGAGGUGGCACUUAGGUGGAGCAGGCCAAGUUAGGAGCCAGGGGACCAGGGCCCAGCGGGAUCCUAAGGGGCAGGGUUGGCCCUGCUGGCUCCACUACACCACACCCUCGAGGACUUCCCAGAGGGUCUGAGGGUAUGGGGGAUCAAGGAAGGAACUGGAGGGUCCUGAAAUCCAGGGAGGGGCCAGAAUCCGUUGGAAUGCAAUGAGGCACAGCUGGGAGAUCUGGGCACGGUGACCCUAAAUUCUGGAAGGUCCCUAAGUGCAUCAACUGUUUUUGGGGGGUAGGGGAGUGGCCAGCCUGGUACCACUGCUUUAGAGCAUGUGUCAUCACCUCUCACAGUGAAGUCAUCUUUAAAGGACUCAAUUGUCUUGUGCCCAGGCUGGGCCUGGAGAGGGUGGAGGUCACAUGGCCACUGACCCGAGUCCUUCUGGCUUCCCUGUGACCUUCACGGGAGUCUCUUUGGGGGCUUAAAGAGGCAGGCACUGGCCGGAGAUGACCCUUCCCCAAUCACCCAUGUCCCUGGGAGCCUCAGUUCCUGGAACCAGCCACUUCAGACUGGGUCUUCUGGGCAGCUGGGUGGGACCACAGGACCGCUGUUCCUUGCAGGGCUGGAGUUUGAGCGCUGGCUCAAUGCCACGGGCCCACCGCUGGCCGAGCCGGACCUAUCUCAGGGGUCCAGCCUGACCCGGCCUGUGGAGGCCCUGUUCCAGCUGUGGACGGCGGAGCCCCUCGAUCAGGCGGCAGCGUCAGCCAGUGCCGUGGACAUCUCCAAGUGGAGGACCUUCCAGACGGCACUCUUCCUGGACCGGCUCCUGGAUGGGUCCCCGCUGCCUCAGGGUGGGUCCCUCAGCCAGCAGGUGGCCCUGGGGGGAGUGGCACUGGCCUGGCCUGACUUGCCGCUGCCCCACAGAGGUGGUGAUGAGCCUGUCCAAGUGCUACUCCUCCCUCCUGGACUCCAUGAACGCUGAGAUCCGCAUUCGCUGGCUGCAGAUCGUGGUGCGCAACGACUACUACCCAGACCUCCACCGGGUGCGGCGCUUCCUGGAGAGCCAGGUGCAGACACCUGUCUGGGGUCGGGGCUGGGGGUGGCCUCACUCAGGGGCCCAACCACCCUCUCUCUCUCCAGCCUGACUGCUCAGGCAGGCAGGCACACCAGAGAGUUGGGUGGCAAGGUCUGGGGGUCUGGGCUGGGAACCGGCCUGAGUCGGGGGAGACAGGUAUAAGUCAAAGCUCAGAGGCAGCCUGGACUGCACCAGUCCUGGGAGAGACCAUGGAGGCCCAAGAUGGGAGUUGGUGUCCAAGGGUCUCCGCUCACAGCCUGGACCUGGACCUAGCUGGGCCUCCAGCCUGUGGUGUUCAGCUCCCAGGUGGGCACAGGGGCAUCCAAGUUCCUCCAACAGUGGCAGGUUCCAGCCUGUGGGACCUGACUUCCCUGGGGCACCCCUCCAGCCCAAUCAGCAUGGAAGAGGAGGUCAGGGUGACCGACUGGUGGGGGUCUUGGGCUGUGUGAGUCCAGACCAAGGCCUGGUGAAGCCGCUGGAGCAGGUCCAGGGAUUGGAAGGCCUCCCGCCAGGCGGGGUUGGUGGGAGAGGCCCGGGGAGCCCACUAGGUGACCUGGUGUCCCCACAGAUGUCGCGCAUGUACACCAUCCCACUGUAUGAGGACCUCUGCACGGGUGCCCUCAAGUCCUUUGCGCUGGAGGUCUUCUAUCAGACGCAGGGCCGGCUGCACCCCAAUCUGCGCAGAACCAUCCAGCAGAUCCUGUCCCAGGGCCUGGGCCCCAGUGCCGAGGCCAGCACUGAGCCCGACGCUGAGCUGGCCAGAGCUGGGGCAGAGGCAGGGUCAGACUCGGCAGCCCUGCUGCUUGGCGACGAGGCCCCCAGUAGCGCCAUCUCUCUCAGGGACGUCAACGUGUCUGCCUAGCCCUGACAUUGGGCCAACCUUCAACCUCCCAGACACCAAGAUUGUGCCUUCUGUGGCCCGGGCCGCCAUGACUGCGCCUUGGCUCUGGCCACGAGCUCGGCCCGGGCCCGUGAGCCUCUCCCGUGGGCUCUCCCGUGGGCUCUCCCGGGGGCUCUCCCAGGCUGGGGGCUUGGGGAGAGGGAUUCUGUCUAGUGGCAGCCCUGGGGGCCUGAGCUCACCCUGUCCCAGCUGUCCUGCACUGUGGGCCUCAGGACUGGCCUUAUGCACCACGCCUCCCAUCUCAACACUGACAGCCAUGCGUGGCCCCGGACACCCGCACCUGCUGGACACCAUCGUGGGACCGCAGCUCCAGCAGCUCAUGGCGACCACCACACUGUGCCUUACGUCUGCAGACAGGCUGCACUGCCCCCGAGGCACAGCUUCCCCAGAACCCUGCACUGUUAUCCCCUGGCAGAGGGACAAGGACGCGAUGUACCCUCACUGUGGGGGCUGGGGACAGGAGAGAAGGGGCAUCACAUGGGGAGCCUUGGCCCCUCGGCACAUGGAGUCCAGGCCCCAGAGGCCUGUUCUCCCAGCUGCCUGGGGUAGCGGCACAGCCACCCGGCUCACCCCAGGAAAGGGGUGGUGCUGAUGCUCUUGGGGCACACCUGCUGGAGGCACCAGGUAGGAAGGCUCCAGCUUGGGACUGUGCAGUGGGCACCACGUGACUGUCCCAUUAAACCUCCACUCUGCAGACUGACCUCCCUUUCUG